AAAAAAAAAAAAAAAAAAAAAAAAAAAACAGAAACCUUAGUUGUUAAAGAAAUCCAAACCCGCUAGAUGUAUCAGAGCGUUGAGAAAGCUUCUCCUAGAGUUAAGAGAAAAGAAAAGAAUGAUAUGAAAAAGAGUUUGAAAGAUUCAUGAGUGCAAAGGGUAGAGUUAAGUUGGGACAGGAGUUGGGAUUACCAUUAGAGCUUCAUUGUUAUACUCUGGGUAGAUGGGAUCUUAUCUCUGUAUGCAUAACUUGGGACUUACCUUUAGCAUUCUACUAAAGCUCAAUCAUUCUUGAGGGAUCCCCUGUUACUUAAGCCUAUUCUGUAGGGGACCAUCUUUGUCUCUUGACCUUCACCUUAGCCAAAUGAGUUCAUUGAUGAUGCAUUGCUUGAUUCACGUUCCAGAACUAAUGAAUGUUAAAGGGAUUGGUAGAUUUGAAAACAUGUGUAGGUCGAGUAUAAGAGACGGAUUUAUUGAUAACAAGGCAUGCCUAACGUUUUUGAGUGGAAUUCAAUCAUAUCGCAUCUUAGAACUACCAACUUGGACAUUGAUUUUAUUUGCUCUAUCAUAUGCUUUGGUUCUGAGUCCCCGCCUUCACUCCUCUCCUUCAACUAUGUCUUCUUAUUUGCUUGAGGGCAAGCAAAGACUAAGUUUGGGGGAGUUGAUAUGUCUAUAAUUUGCAUGUUUUCAGUGUCUAUUCAUCAUCACUUUGAGUCUAGUUUCGUAUCAUUCAUCACUGUUUUAUAUCAUUUCUCAUCAUUCUUGCACACUUUCGAUGAUUAGGAUAGCUUUGCACACAUAUUGCAUCUCUGAGUUGUUUUCAGGUGAUUUGCAGCUGUUUGCGAGCAAAUUGGAAGAAACGAGCCAGAACCAGAAGACAUACUCGACCCCCAGGCCGAGUGACUUUGGAGCCAUUCUUCCCACAUACUCGACCCCCAGGUCGAGUGACUUUGGAGCCAUUCUUCCCGUCCACUCGACCACCAGGUCGAGUAACCUCAGCUCAGGCCACUCGACGACAUUACUCGACCCCCUGGUCGAGUACCGCUUCGCCACACCACCUGACCACACUCGACCAUUCACUCUACCACGUUACUCGACCCCCUGGUCGAGUAUCAUCACUCACCACCAUCACCAUCAGUCGACCGGACACUCGAUCACGUCUUCACAGUCUACUCAAAUCCGCACUCAACCAGACAAGCUGAGCACAAGGAAGAAAAGAGGAGAAGACAAAGUGUUUGGAAGCGGCCUGGACCUCCAUCGGAUCACGAAGCCCAUCUCGGCCCAUUAUCACUCUAUGGGCCGGGCGAUUAGGUUAUUGGCCCGUCUACUAUCAUUUUAUUUCGUUUGGUAUAAAUAGAUGUUUUAGGGUUCUGUCCUGAGACAUCUAGUCGACAUUGCGUUUUUGCUUCAGUUUUAUUUUCAGUUUUACUCUGCUACGCCGCUUUUGCUUCUGCAACCUGUAGUUCGCGAUUUUUCCAAGUUAUUGAGAUUCCGCGUUUGAUUUCAUUAGUCAUCUUGUUUCUCUACUCUUUAUCUCUUUACUUAUGCAAUAUUAUCGUUUACCUGCGUUUAUGUCUUUGAGCAUGCUGUCUGAGUAGUGACUUAGAAUUCUUAGGGAUGGGAUAGAGUAGUUGUGGAAUCCGUAGUCUGUAGAAUGGUUAAGUUUUAGAAUUGAUUGAAUCCCUUUAGGACUAGUUGCGUUUACUGCUUAUUUCUUUCUGAUCAACUGGAAUUCGAUCCCAAGCAUUCCCGCACCCAGAAGGUGUUCGAUGGAAUGCUUGAUCCACUAGUUCAUGAGAUAUGCGACUCUAUCCCAAGGGAUUGGCCGUUUAGAGCGUUUAUUGACUUUAUCAGUCUGUUCGUAUUGCCUGCAUAGUUAGAUUCCGUUAAUGGGAAUUAGUCUGGGCUAGCUUUGCUUGAGGAUUUCUAUCACGGGAGUGAAUUGGUCUGUUGUUGAACCUGUUGUCUAGGGAUAGCUUGAUUGCGCUUGUUAACCAUUCGAAUAGGCUAGGACACCACUCUACUCGAUUACCCCAUCCUUAGGAAUUUCUCGUCUAUCUUAUUUCUCUGUUUUAUCGUUAUCGCUUAAUCGUUCUCAUUGCCUGUUUCUUAGUUUUUACAAUCACUCGACCAACUUACUCGACCACACCCAGUGUCUGGCAACAGACUGUGCAGUCGAGUAUAGCUGUUUCAUAUCCUGUCUAUUACUCGACCUGUUACUCGACCACAUCCUACUUCUGGCAUCAGCCUGUUGUGGUCGAGUGAUUUUAGUAAUUCUGUUAUUGCUUCUGUUUUCUGCAUGUUCGCUUAGGACUGUUAGAAACCCCAAAACUGUUAUUGCUUGGCUUGACUUAGUGACUUCUGAUCACAUCUCAUCUGUUUGCAUCACACCCAUUUGGAUUGACACCUAAAAUACUACAACGACAUGAUUGGUGUUUUAGGAAUAAUUGACUAAAAACCUAUUAUCAAUUUGGCGCCGUUGCCAAUUGGGUGUUUGUUUGCUAUAUUUGAGAUUUCAGAAUAUUUAAGAUCAAGUUCUUUUUCAUUUUUUCUGAAAGUUACUAACUUUGUGUUAUUUCUGUUUGUCUGUUUUGAUUCAGGUACUACGAAUCACUAGCUUCACCAGUUGGUACUCGUUGUAUGCAAACACGGUCACGAGGAAAUCAGAAUCUCCUGUUCAACGAUAACAUCGACCGUAUUGCACGCCAACUCAGAACACAGACAGAAACAGAGACAAUGGCUGCAGUUGUUGAUGAGCAGGUGCAACCAAACAACAUAGGUGCAGGCGAUGCACCACGCAACCACAAUCAGCGUAAUGGCAUCGUGCCUCCACCUGUGCAGAACAACAACUUUGAGAUCAAGAGCGGUCUCAUUGCCAUGGUUCAGAGCAACAAGUUCCACGGCCUCCCUAUGGAGGAUCCACUCGAUCACCUGGACGAGUUUGAUAGGCUCUGCAGCCUAACAAAGAUCAAUGGAGUCAGUGAGGAUGGCUUCAAGCUCAGAUUGUUUCCUUUCUCUCUUGGAGACAAAGCCCAUCAGUGGGAAAAGUUGCUUCCUCAAGGCUCUAUCACCUCCUGGAAUGACUGCAAGAAAGCCUUCUUGGCUAAGUUUUUCUCAAACUCCAGGACUGCGAGACUAAGGAAUGAUAUCUUCGGUUUCACUCAGACGAAUAAUGAGACUUUCUGCGAAGCAUGGGAGCGCUUCAAAGGUUAUCAGACGCAAUGUCCUCAUCAUGGUUUCUCCAAAGCUUCGCUUCUCAGCACUCUCUACAGAGGUGUCCUCCCAAAGAUCAGGAUGCUUCUAGAUACCGCUUCUAACGGGAACUUUCUCAACAAAGACGUUGAAGACGGAUGGGAGCUGGUAGAGAACUUAGCUCAGUCGGAUGGCAACUAUAAUGAAGAUUAUGAUAGAAGCGUCCGCACCAGCUCUGAUUCUGAUGAGAAGCACCGCAGGGAAAUGAAAGCCAUGAAUGACAAACUGGACAAGCUACUGCUUGUGCAACAGAAGCACAUUCAUUUUCUGGGUGAUGAUGAGACGUUCCAAGUUCAGGAUGGGGAGACUAUGCAGUCAGAAGAGGUCAGUUAUGUGCAGAACCAAGGAGGUUACAACAAAGGUUUCAACAACUUCAAGCAGAACCAUCCCAAUCUGUCUUACAGAAGUACAAACGUUGCAAACCCGCAGGACCAAGUUUACCCUUCACAGCAGCAGAAUCAACCUAAGCCCUUUGUUCCAUACAACCAAGGUCAAGGGUAUGUUCCUAAGCAGCAGUAUCAGGGCAACUAUCAGCAGCAACUUCCACCACCUGGGUUCACACAGCAGCAACAACAACCAGCUUCAACAACUCCAGAUUCGGACUUGAAGAACAUGUUACAGCAGAUUCUCCAAGGGCAAGCUGCAGGAGCAAUGGAUCUCGCCAAAAAGAUGGCCGAAAUCCACAACAAGGUUGAUUGUACUUUCAACGAUCUGAAUAUCAAACUUGAGGCACUUACCUCUAAGGUCAGAUACAUGGAAGGACAAACAGCGUCAACUUCUGCUCCAAAAGUAACAGGACUUCCAGGAAAGUCCAUACAGAACCCGAAGGAAUACGCCACCGCUCACGCUAUCACCAUCUGUCAUGAUCGAGAGCUGCCUACUCGACAUGUCUCCACAUCAAUCACCGAGGACAGUGAUGUUCAAGACGGGGAGGUUUCUACUCAGAUUGAAAUUUCAGUGGUUGGACUCGACCAUUCAGCAGGAUCCCGUUUUCAAACCCAGUCCAACCUAGACGAGAAAGCAGCCAUCAUUGAGAGGAUGGUAAAACGAUUCAAGCCAGCACCAUUACCUUCACGUGCUCUUCCAUGGAAAUUCAGGAAAGCAUGGAUAGAAAGAUACAAUCCUCUUGCAGAGAAGCAGCUUGAUGAAAUGGAAGCGGUGAUGCCUCUAAUAGAAGUUCUCAACCUAAUCCCGGAUCCUCACAAAGAUGUGAGAAAGUCAAUUCUGGAAAGGAUCAAGAUUCAUCAGGAUUCAGAAGACGAAUGUGAUGCUAUUCCGCCUAGGACCACUGUUAAGAGGAGUGUUCAAGAAAAACUGGAAGAUCCAGGAACUUUCACUCUACCAUGUUCCAUCGGCCAAUUGGUUUUCAGCGAUUGUCUUUGUGAUUUGGGAGCUUCAGAAAGCUUAAUGCCACUCUCAGUGGCAAGGAAGCUGGAAUUCACUCAGUACAAACCUUGCGACCUGACUUUAAUCCUUGCUGAUAGGUCUUCAAGAAAACCCUUCGGCCUUCUACAAGAUCUGCCAGUAAUGAUUAAUGGAGUGGAAGUGCCCACGGAUUUCAUUGUGCUUGAUAUGGAAGCAGAACCUAAGGAUCCUCUAAUCCUAGGAAGACCUUUCUUAGCCUCAGUGGGAGCGAUGAUAGAUGUCAGAGAUGGGAGAAUAAGUCUCAACCUUGGGAAGCACAUCAAGCUGCAGUUUGACAUCAACGAAACUUCGCAAAGGUCAGCUGUAGAAGAAAGGAUCAGGGCUCAACCUCAGCCUUCGAAUUCAAUCACUAGACCAAGCACAGCCUCUACACCCGACUUACGAGAUCUCAAAAAGAAAUCUGAUGAGCAAGAAGAGACCAUAGAGAAGCUAGCUCAGACAGUUGAGGAACUUAAGAGUAAACUAGAUCAGAUGCAAGAGAUAGCUAAAUCCAAAUGCGGGAAUAACACUAUCCCGAGGAAAAAGAUUACUUCAAGAUGGUCUGAAGAGAUAGAUUAUACACCAGAAGAGAAAGAGGUCUAUUUCGAGGAAAGAAGAAUUGAGUAUUCAGCUACUCAUCUCUCAAGAGAGGAUGCUGAAUAUGAUGAUGAGAUCAGAGAGGACUAUGCAGACCCUCUCUAUCACCCAUUUUCUUCUUAAUGAGUGUGAGGAGUCAAGCUAUAGACUUUAAACAAGCUCACUUGGGAGGAAUUCCCAAGACUGUUUCUGUAAAUAAAACUUUUAUUUUCUCGUUAUUUUUGAUUUGUUUUUGGUUGUGUUUGUGAUUCUCAGGAACAGAGCAACAGCGUGGAGGUAGAGUAAAAAUUUAAAAUUUUUACUCUACAGAGCAACAGGAGAUCGAGUAUUUCAGAAAUUCAAGAACUUGAAAAACCUCUGUUGCAGUCAGGGGCCAUGAGGUCGAGUAAACUGGUCGAGUAUUAGUGAUGAUUCUAAAAACCAAAAUUUUGAAAUCAUAUCUAUGCUCGACCAACAGAAGCUACAGAGACUUACAGGGAGUUCAACAAAUUUACAGAGGAUUACAGAAGGUUCUAGUCAACAGAAAACAGUGCUUCAGGACAAAUAGACAGAACGUGGCCCACCACCUCUCACUUUUGUCCCCCCACGCGUUUUAAGAGAUAACAAAAUCUCUUCCUUCCUUCUCCACCACUCGAUCUCACCAUAUCCUCUCCCACCGACAUCAUCUCUCUCCCUCUCCAAACACUCGACCACGAAAACUCACUCCACCUCACGUCCAUCACUCGACCAAACCUCGCAAUCCCUUUUCCUCUCCAAACACUUGACCUCGCCCGUCACUCGAUCUCGCCCUUCCGGCUUCGUCUCUCUCCUUCACUCGACGACGGUACUCGAUUUUGCCAUUUCUUCCUUCUCACCACUCGACGGUUACUCGACCGCUCCGCCCUUCACUUCGCCGGAAGCUUCACCGCCUCACCGUCGCCUCCUUACCACUCGACCGCAACUCAACCUCUCCGUGCUUCAUCUUCAUCUUCAUUUACUCGACUUCGCCGGAGCUUCUCGCCGUUCCAGCUUCGCAUACUCUCUCACCGUCUCUCGUUUCACUCGACCACUUCACACUUCGCCUCAACAUCUUCGCCGGAGUUUCUCGCCAUUGUCCGUGCUUUCGUCAUCUCCGUUCACUCGACCACCGGACCGGCUUCACCAUCUCUCAACUAUCCACCAUUCACUCGACCUCGCCAUUCACUGCGCCUCCAUUCGUCUCUUUACUCGACUGCUCCUCAAACCGCCACCGUCUUCUCUAAAUUCGCCAUUUACUCGACCACACUGUUACGUCUCUCAUUCGUGUACAGUCGACCGCUAUACCCGAAGCCACAAUAUCACUGUACUCGACCGUUUCACUCGACCGCGUACUUGACUGGUUUAGUGUGUGUGUUUAUUUGAACUAACAUAUUGAUAUUUGGUUUUAAGUUACAUUCUUUUUCAGGGAAUCAAUAUGAGUAACUACAGUGGCGAAUCCUCCAUGGAUGCGGAUUACAACGUCGAUGAAGCUGAAUCUUGGUCAACUAGACCAGAGAGAGAGCAACAGGCUUAUGAGAGCUUCAGAGCCGAGACCCAACGCUCAGUAGCUCGACGCAAUGAAAAGAGAGCUGAGAUUGCUAGAGGAAAGAGAGCGAUGACCAGCAGAUAUGAGUUGAUCGACGAAGAUAUUGACGUCGAGUAUGAGCCUGAGUCAUGGCACAGAGAAACAAAACUGUUGAACAAGCCUGAUGAAGUUACAGUGGAGGAGUACAUCAGACUUUUCGAGCUGAACGACUUCUGGGGAACGAGGUACCCCUGUUAUGAGACUCUAGCCCAGCUUGGGCUACUGGAGGACGUACAGCACUUAUUCGAGAAGUGCCAUCUUGAGACGCUGAUGUCUUACCCGUACGUCGCUUACAAGAAGGAAACAAUAGAGUUUCUCUCCACUCUGCAAGUGGAGUUGUAUCAGGGACUUACUGCAGAUGAACUGGAGAGUGAAGGGUUGGGGUUCUUGACUUUUUCAGUUAACGAGCAGCGUUACCAGCUAUCUAUCAAGAGCUUGGAAGGAUUAUUUGGUUUUCCCAGUGGAAAGGGAACUAAACCCAAGUUCGAAAGGGAAGAGUUGAAGGAUUUGUGGUUAACCAUUGGGAACGAUUUGGCGCUCAACUCUGCAAGGUCUAAGAGCAACCAGAUUCGAAGCCCUGUGAUCCGCUACUAUCAGCGCUCAGUAGCGAAUGUUCUGUACCCCAGGGAAUCUACAGGCACCGUGUCUAACACAGACAUGGAGAUGAUUGAUUCUGCACUCAAGGGUAUUCUCCGGAGAACAAAGGGGAAGAAGGUCCUAAAGGGCGACCUUAAUGAUACACCACCGGUCAUGCUUCUGUUGAUCCAUAUGUGUGGAUACAGGAAGUGGGCGCACACCAACGGGAGGAAGAAGGUGCGAGGAGCCCUUUGUGUGGGUGGCGUUGUGACACCGAUUCUGAUUGCAUGUGGUGUACCUCUCACAUCUCCAGGGUUUGAUCCGAGGAUGAUGGAUUUAGAUCACUAGCGUCGUUGUGAGUUUCUGGAAUACGACAUGGUUGGCGAUUUUUAUCGCUACAAAUUCGAGAACUCCCUGACCCGAACAGCCAACAUUUUGCUUCCCUGCAUCGAGGCCACAACCAUACUUCAGGGUGAGAACAUUGACUUCAGACCUGCGCGUGAUUAUCUCUACUUUGAGAGCGCUCCACCGACUGAUGACAAUGUCCCUAUGACGGAAGCUACAGAGGAUGAUAUUGCUGAGACGGAUGAGGAUAGGGAGGAGGAGUAUGAUACGAGCAUGUAUCAUUUCAGUGAGCACGUACCUCCAGCGCGGGAGAGCAAGAGCUUGAGUGAAGCUCAUAGAAACAACAGUAAGUUGCAGAGGUGGUGCAAGAAACAAGAUAGGCUACUUAUCAAGUGCUUCAAAGCCAUCACGUUUCUGACGGACAAGAUAAGCUGCUUCUCUUCUACUACAGCUAUUCCGCAGGGAGAGCGUCCUCAGGACAUGCCUUCGAGGAGAUAUGACGCGCCAGGGCCAAGUCAUCACAGGCCUGAGCCAAGUCACCACAGGCCUGAGCCUAGUGACCGAGUAGUCCCACCAGUCCCUGCGAGGCAUUCAUCAUUCGAGCCUCUGGAGCUCGGGAGAAAGAAGAAGGCUGCACUCACUCGGUCUGGCAGCAGGAGUACACGACUUCUCCAGUCCCGUAGCUUACGCGACCGCGGUGCUGGCCGCAGCAGAAGAAGAGAGGUCGAGUAUCAUCACAGCGGUGCUGGCCGCGACGAAGGAGCAGAGGUCGAGUACCCCCAGGGGGAAGCUGGGACACAACAGGGAGAUUCUUCGAUGGCCUGGGAGCAAUCACAGACAGCUAUUGAUGACCAACUCCGCUCCUUCUUCCACUGAGGUAUGCACCUCACUCCACCAUUGUAAUAUACCAUCUCUUGUUUUUAUUUUGUUUUUGUGAUGUGUUUUUGUCCUGAGUACUCUCUUCCAAAUUUGGUCACACAGUGGACUGUGUGAUUUAAGUUUGGGGGAGGGCUCAGGAAGUGUGUGUUGCAUUGUAUAAUCUUGAGUCUGCAUUCAUCUAAGGCAUAGAAAAACCAAAAAAAUUGAAAAAUUCCAGAAAAUGAUUUCACAAAAAUAGAGUGUUCAUGUAGUUGCAUUGCAUUUAGGAUCGAGUCUAGAGUGUUUCGUUUAGGAUUGUUGCAUAUGCAUAGGGGAUAAUGAUGAGAUAACCUUGUAAGCAUUUUGGUUCACCAGAUAAGCUCAGUGCCCUCGUUGUUAGUUGUUUGAUGCGUUGUCAUUGAAAUUUAAGUAAGAACUGCACCAUGCCUAGAUUGCUCUACUCGACCACACUGUUAGGAUCUGAUAUCAUUCCCUAUCAAUUUGAACUUGAAUCUGAUUUAGAAUUAUCAUGUCUUGGCAUCGAAUUUGAACUCAUGGAUACCCUAAAAUACUUGGAUUUUCUUACUCAUUUUAACCACUCUUGUUGAUCCAAGUAGCUGACUCUCCUUAUUAGAGCAGUUAACCCAUACCCAAACCUGAACUUUCUUUCAAGCCCUAUAUCACUUUUGAGUGUUUGUGAGGUCUUAUUUCGAUUGAGCUUGGUAGAAAGUGUUAGGUUCGUAACGACAGAGAUAGUGUCUCAUGUAGUUCUAGUUCGCGUUCUUCAGACUGGAUAGGACUAGGUGGGCGCUUAUAUCAUGGGUUGUGAUGUGUUUAAAAGAAAAGAGGGAAUCCAUUGUUGAUGAGGAAAGGGAAAGAAUUCCAGGGGAAGUAAGCUAAAGAAGUUAGAAAAAAAAUCUAGUAAAGGUUUUGGGAAUGUUAAAGAAAAGAAUGAGGUUCUUGUUAGCUAAAGAAGAAGGGUUAAAAGCCUUUGGAUUUAAAAAAAAAAAAAAAAAAAAAAAAAA
This 9639-nucleotide small RNA is filed under the name Arabidopsis thaliana (thale cress). RNAcentral's name for it is "ATSL269240". The stretch from base 7995 to 8215 matches the Rfam family "MIR854 microRNA precursor family". The record is from RNAcentral. Lineage: Eukaryota; Viridiplantae; Streptophyta; Magnoliopsida; Brassicales; Brassicaceae.